RNAcentral lists this ribosomal RNA (497 nucleotides) under uncultured bacterium. Its description in RNAcentral is "partial 16S ribosomal RNA". It matches the Rfam family "Bacterial small subunit ribosomal RNA", at positions 28 to 507 of the family's 1533-position model. The record is from RNAcentral.
GACGAACGCUGGCGGCGUGCCUAAUACAUGCAAGUCGAACGAGAGCGACCGGUGCUUGCACUGGUCAAUCUAGUGGCGAACGGGUGAGUAACACGUGGGUAACCUGCCCAUCAGAGGGGGAUAACAUCCGGAAACGGAUGCUGAACCGCAUAGGUCUUCCAGCCGCAUGGCUUGAAGGGGGAAAGAGGGGCAAGCUUCUUCUGAUUGAUGGGCCCGCGGUGCAUUAGCUAGUUGGUGAGGUAACGGCUCACCAAGGCCGUGAUGCAUAGCCGACCUGAGAGGGUGAUCGGCCACAUUGGGACUGAGACACGGCCCAAACUCCUACGGGAGGCAGCAGUAGGGAAUCUUCCGCAAUGGACGCAAGUCUGACGGAGCAACGCCGCGUGAGUGAAGAAGGUUUUCGGAUCGUAAAACUCUGUUGUUAGAGAAGAACAAGUGCUAGAGUAACUGUUAGCGCCUUGACGGUAUCUAACCAGAAAGCCACGGCUAACUACGUG